Molecule: ribosomal RNA, 207 nt
Filed under: uncultured bacterium
Lineage: Bacteria
Description: partial 16S ribosomal RNA
Rfam family: Bacterial small subunit ribosomal RNA
Source: RNAcentral
UGCGUAGGCGGCGCGGUAAGUCGGGUGUGAAAUUUCGGAGCUUAACUCCGAAACUGCAUUCGAUACUGCCGUGCUUGAGGACUGGAGAGGAGACUGGAAUUUACGGUGUAGCAGUGAAAUGCGUAGAGAUCGUAAGGAAGACCAGUGGCGAAGGCGGGUCUCUGGACAGUUCCUGACGCUGAGGCACGAAGGCCAGGGGAGCAAACG